UCACUCCGUGACAUCUCCCCCUCAAGGGGGGAGAUUGGCCGCAACCGCUGCGGCUCACUCCGGCUUUCUUCGCUCUACACCGUUUCAGUUCAUUUCUGCUGGACAGAGACUUAUCCGCGUGCCCUCGAUCUCCCCCCUUGAGGGGGAGAUGUCACGCAGUGA
This 162-nucleotide microRNA precursor is filed under the name Rhizobium giardinii. RNAcentral describes it as "microRNA MIR1846". Lineage: Bacteria; Pseudomonadati; Pseudomonadota; Alphaproteobacteria; Hyphomicrobiales; Rhizobiaceae. The record is from RNAcentral.